AGCUUCUAAUCAACAAAAAGGACAAUAAAGUUGUCUUUGCUGAAACUAAAAAUGAUUUCAUAGAUUUCCUAUUCAACCUCCUGACUUUACCCAUCGGCACCAUCAUGAAUUUCCUCCCAAAAGAAAAUUGCCUGGGAAACCUGCAUGGAAGUAUCAACAAACUGGAAGAAGCUUACUUGCUGCCUAACCAAAGCAUGGACUCACCCCUAAAACUGAAUACACCAGUCGAUGCUAUUCUUCCUUUCUUUGAUCUUCCUUUAUCAUGGAGUGAUAGACAUGUGAAAGAUGACUCAGUUACGUACAUGGUGGCUAAUGACUUGUCGGUUACACCCAUGUCCAUGACAUCAACCAUGGCUCUGUUUAAAAAGUACAACGUAAGCGAAGUUGGUGUUCUUGAGGAAAAGGUGGUUGCCAUUGGCCUUGAAGAGGUAAACAAUUCUCUAGCUUAUUGAGCUUUAAUUGAUUUAUUUUCUGCCCUAAUUUCUUGCAGAUUUGGUUGGAGUUAUCCUUUUCCCAAGACACAAUUAAUCAGUAGAUGUUACUUGCAAAUUAUUAAGCCUUGUUUGGUGAUUGAUUUUAAAAAUAGUUUUCUAUAUUAUAGAAUAAACAGAAAAACAUGUUUUCAAUUAAGAAAUAGAAAACAUAAUGUUUUUAAAUAACAUUUUUUAGUUCAUUAUUUUUUUUUUCUGUUUUUUCAGAGUUGCUUUAAAAAAUAAUUUUACAAAUAUAAAAAAAUAAUUAAAAAUAUAGUAUUACAGAUAAAAUUAUUUUUAAAACAUAUUUAAAAACAUGAAAAAAAAUAGAUUAAAGAACAUUUUAGGUUCCCCAACACAUUUUUAUUCUACAAAUUAUCAUAAAAUAGUUUUAAAGAACCGUUCUUAAUAAUUGUUUUCCAUAAAUGUUUUCAAAAAUAGUCUUAAUUUUUGUUUGAAGUUUUGAAAGGUACUUUCUUUUCUAAUGUUGAUUUAAUCAAUCUUUUUGUUCACUUUUCAGGCUUUGCUCUUGUUGCAUUGUGCUUUGCAUUCCAAGGAAGCUCUCACUAAGGUCUUCCUUUAGAUGAUUUAGUUUGUUCUCUUCCCUUACAAUCUAUAAAUUUGGUUGUUUGAGGGCUAAACCAUUGGAGUAUGCAAACUCUCUUUGUUCUUGCAUUUGUAAAAAUCAUAAAGCUCUGGAUCCCUAAAUAAUGUUUAUGCUUAAUUGUCUUUAUAUAAUGUAAUCUCUCUUUGUUCUUAUAAAGAAUCCUUGCAUAGCCCCAAUUUUAUAGAACUAGAAUAAGAAUAAUAAUAAAAGUUAAUGUGUUAUACAAUUUGUCAAAGAUCAUUCCAAAAUAAAGAGAAAAAGGAGGUGAGAUUUGUGUGGUAAGGCAUUCAAAUAAGAAUAAUUUGGGUACAUUACGAGGUUAUUUCAAAUAUAAAAGUAGUAUGACUGUGGUAAUGUUUUUUAAAUGGUUAUCAAAAAAUAGUAUUUGAGAAUAAUUAUAAAAAAGUUACCAAUUAUUUUUAAGAAUAAAAUCAUGUUUGAAAAUCAUCAAAUAUCAAAAACAAUUUUCAUUGCUUGUUUUUUUGUGAAGUUAUUAUGGAAUUAAGUAUAAUAUAAAACCUUGUAAAGAAUUCUUCGAUAAAAAUACUCUAUAAAAAAUUGUUUGAAUCCAUCAAAACCAACAAAUUGGUUCAAUUUUUAAUAAUUGUGAAGUUCAUUUAGGUGUUGAAAUCAUGGAACCUGAUUUAAUUGAUUCAAUGUUCAUUUUUAUAUUUGUUUUUCUUAUUUCCUAAUUGACAAAAACGAAAUCAAAUCGAUGUUCUAAAAUUUGUAUUUUUUGUAUGCGUGUAGACUCUAUUUAAGUAACUCAUUAAUAAUUACACUCCAAUCAAUUUUCAAAUGCAAAAAUCAUAUUCCAAGCAAAAAUUUUAAAUAUAUUUGAGACUUUAUAUCCAAAAGAAUUUUAAAUAACUUUUGCAAAUUAAUUCUACUUAAAAUCGUAUGUUUUUUUUAAGAAAUAUUUUCAAAAAUAAUUUUUAAAUAACUUUUGAAAAUUAAUUCUACUUAAAAUCAUAUCUUUUGUUUAAGAAAUAUUUUUGGAAAUAAUUUUAGAAAAAAUAAUUCUUAAGAUAUUCCUUCAUAACAUUGCUAGUACAAUAAUGACAACAAAAUCAAGUAUAUAUAUAAGUUUGGUUAUGUAAGAUAUUCCUUCGGAACAUUGCUUAUAACAUGGUUAAUAAAGAAUAGGAAAAACAAAAAACAAAAAAACAAAAGGUUUUUGAGGAGAAAUGAAAGAAUUAACCAAAAUUCAAGAAGUGCCACAUUCUUGCUCAUUAUCCAUCCGUUGUUUGUCCUUUUUGCCAUGGCGCUAUGGCUAGUGAGGCAAAUUACAUUUUUUCGGACACUGAAAAAGCCGAGAAAGGUUAUGUGAAAGGGGCAGUGACAGAUAUAGUAAUGGUUGUGAAGCCUCUUUCCACCAUGUCCAUUGUUGAUCUCCUCAACAAGUCCAAUAUAAAUGAAGUGGGAGGUGAACUGGAGGAGAAAGGGUUUGAAUCUAAAGGCAUUUUUUCAGAGAAAUGCAGCUCUUACCACUGCCAUUAUUAGGCCCAUUUACAUCGCUCCACUUCAUGAAUGAAAAAAUUAAUUUUACCGAAAGCUUGGAAGUGAAACAUAUCGUUAAACUAUCAAUUUUCUUGCAUUCGUUGUUUGACUUUCAAAUAUGCAAAUAAGAAAACAAAUAUGUAAAAUUGUGAAUGACAUUUCGUCAAACGAACCUUUAAUAUCAUGUUAAACUAACAAUUUUCUUAAAAGCCUAAAAGUUUAACUUGUAGGAUUUGGGUUCAUAAUGUAUAUCAUGCUUCUUUAACACUUAUUAUAUCACAUUGAAAUCUCUCAAGGAAAUUGAUAAUGUAAGGUUGAUAUUGGCAACUUCAAAGUUACAAUUCCAUCAAUUUAUAUACAAAAUGAUUUACAUAAUAAAGAUACAUGAAAUUUUAACGUGGUUGAACCAGACCUACAUUCAUGAAUAAGAAGAACCAUCUUACCAUACCAUAGAAAAUAUAAUAAAGGAUAUAAAUCAAAUAUAGAAAAAAAAAACAACUAUUAUGUCCUUGCUUUUACUCUACACCUCAAACCAUCCUCAAUAACUUUAUGUCCACUCCUUGUAUCUUCUUAAGUUCAUCAUCAUGUUAUAGCUUUUUUCCUUGAUGACAAAUGAUAUUUAUAUACAUAUUCUUAAUAAUUAACUUUUUUAUUUUAUAAAGAAAACUAAUAUUAAAAUGAUAUGACUAUAGAAAAUAUUUUGUAAAAUAUUCUUUAUACAAAUGCAAGUCUAAAGCUUCUAUUGGACACAAACAAUAACAAUUGAAGUCCUUUUUAUUGAAGUAAGACAAUACCUAAUUUAUAGAUUUCCUCCUCAACCUUUAGGCUUUGCAUGUCAGAAUUGGAACUAUGGUCAAUCUCCUUACAAAGAAGAGCAAGGUAGGUUGCCUCCAUAACUUACAUAAGAGUGUUGAAAAUCUCAAUGAAAGCACCUACCUUAACUAAACUCACUCAUUAAACAAUCAUAUUAAAGUUUUAUUUAGUUUUACGAUAGGGUUUGAAGUUGUUGAAGAAAGCUUGGUCAUGUGAGAUAUUCCUUGAGAACAUUGCUAAGAAAGAAUAGAACCCAAAAACCUUUUAGGAGAAGGGAAAGAAUCAAAAUUCAAAACCAUACUUGCAAAAAGAAAACUAAAACCAUUGAUUGAUGAGAAAGGAAAGAAUCAAAACCACUUUGUCUUUGCUUAUAUAUAUAAUGAAUUUAAAACAAGAAGAGAACCAUAAAUUCCACUUCAAUAUCACUAGUUAUCUAUUUUAAUUUCAUCUUUUGUUUUUUCUCUAUUUUAGUUUUGAAGCUUAAUUCUAGGUACUUAAAAGCUAGCGGGCUACUUUUCUCGAGGAAAUGCCUUCCAUGUCAUGUAAGCUUACCAAACUUAGUUGAAUUAUAUGUUUGUUAAUUUCAUUGUUUUCUUGAUAAAUUAAACCGUUCUGAACCUAAAGGGUUUUCACGGCUUAAAAAUACGUUUAUAUAUAUGAACCGUUUUGGACCUAAAGGGUUCUCACGGCUUAAAUAUAUAUACACACUUUAGGUCUAGAGCAGUUUAAGAAAUUUUUUCUCCUAUUUGAUGUGGGAUAUCAUGAAGGUAUAUAUAUACACACACAUUCCUCUUAACAUUAUAAAUGCAUUUUGAAGCCACAAAAACCUUUUGAGCCCAAAACGAAUAGUAUCUAUAUGGUUGAAAUCAAGUGAUUACAUAACAAAUUCUGGUUAUAGUUCAAAACUAAUUUUGGUUUAAUGGUCCAAUUCAUGCAUGGCAACCAAAGCAACCCCUAAGAUGAACUUGAAGCUUCUAAUCAACAAAAAGGUCGAUAAAGUUGUCUUCGCUGAAGCUGAAAAUGAUUUCAUAGAUUUCCUAUUCAACCUCUUGACUUUGCCCAUUGGCACCAUCGUGAGUUUCCUCCCAAAAGAAAAUAGCCUAAGAGACCUACAUGAGAGUAUCAACAAAUUGGAAGAAGCUUACCUGCUUGACCAGAGCAACGACUCAUUCUUGAAACUGAA
RNAcentral lists this long non-coding RNA (4576 nucleotides) under Vitis vinifera (wine grape). RNAcentral's name for it is "long non-coding RNA (VVIN_LNC004025)". The record is from RNAcentral. Lineage: Eukaryota; Viridiplantae; Streptophyta; Magnoliopsida; Vitales; Vitaceae.